Molecule: unclassified non-coding RNA, 236 nt
Filed under: Melanogaster broomeanus
Lineage: Eukaryota; Fungi; Basidiomycota; Agaricomycetes; Boletales; Melanogastraceae
Description: partial internal transcribed spacer 2
Source: RNAcentral
AAUUCUCAACCAUCCUUUGAUUGAUUUCGAGGGAUGGCUUGGAUCUUGGGAGUUGCUGGCUGCCCCUCGGAGACGGUCGGCUCUCCUUAAAAGCAUUAGCGAAAGGUUGACAAGCCCUGCAUGCACGGCCUUUGACGUGAUAAUGAUCGUCGUGGCUGGAGUGUGAGGCGUAGAUUCGAUCUUUGCUUCCAAAAACAUGGUAUUGGGGGUACUUGCGACCCUUUUUACUUUUUGAC